GGUGGGAUUACCGCAUCCUGAAGUGUCGGGCUCAUAACCCGAAGGUCGCGGGUUCAAAUCCCGCCCCCGCUA
This 72-nucleotide transfer RNA is filed under the name Actinomycetota bacterium. RNAcentral describes it as "tRNA-Met". It matches the Rfam family "tRNA", at positions 17 to 71 of the family's 71-position model. Rfam says of the family: Transfer RNA (tRNA) molecules are approximately 80 nucleotides in length. Their secondary structure includes four short double-helical elements and three loops (D, anti-codon, and T loops). Further hydrogen bonds mediate the characteristic L-shaped molecular structure. tRNAs have two regions of fundamental functional importance: the anti-codon, which is responsible for specific mRNA codon recognition, and the 3' end, to which the tRNAs corresponding amino acid is attached (by aminoacyl-tRNA synthetases). tRNAs cope with the degeneracy of the genetic code in two manners: having more than one tRNA (with a specific anti-codon) for a particular amino acid; and 'wobble' base-pairing, i.e. permitting non-standard base-pairing at the 3rd anti-codon position. The record is from RNAcentral. Lineage: Bacteria; Bacillati; Actinomycetota.